GAACGCUGGCGGCAGGCCUAACACAUGCAAGUCGAGCGGUAGAGAGAAGCUUGCUUCUCUUGAGAGCGGCGGACGGGUGAGUAAUGCCUAGGAAUCUGCCUGGUAGUGGGGGAUAACGUUCGGAAACGGACGCUAAUACCGCAUACGUCCUACGGGAGAAAGCAGGGGACCUUCGGGCCUUGCGCUAUCAGAUGAGCCUAGGUCGGAUUAGCUAGUUGGUGAGGUAAUGGCUCACCAAGGCGACGAUCCGUAACUGGUCUGAGAGGAUGAUCAGUCACACUGGAACUGAGACACGGUCCAGACUCCUACGGGAGGCAGCAGUGGGGAAUAUUGGACAAUGGGCGAAAGCCUGAUCCAGCCAUGCCGCGUGUGUGAAGAAGGUCUUCGGAUUGUAAAGCACUUUAAGUUGGGAGGAAGGGCAGUUACCUAAUACGUGAUUGUUUUGACGUUACCGACAGAAUAAGCACCGGCUAACUCUGUGCCAGCAGCCGCGGUAAUACAGAGGGUGCAAGCGUUAAUCGGAAUUACUGGGCGUAAAGCGCGCGUAGGUGGUUUGUUAAGUUGGAUGUGAAAUCCCCGGGCUCAACCUGGGAACUGCAUUCAAAACUGACUGACUAGAGUAUGGUAGAGGGUGGUGGAAUUUCCUGUGUAGCGGUGAAAUGCGUAGAUAUAGGAAGGAACACCAGUGGCGAAGGCGACCACCUGGACUGAUACUGACACUGAGGUGCGAAAGCGUGGGGAGCAAACAGGAUUAGAUACCCUGGUAGUCCACGCCGUAAACGAUGUCAACUAGCCGUUGGGAGCCUUGAGCUCUUAGUGGCGCAGCUAACGCAUUAAGUG
Molecule: ribosomal RNA, 840 nt
Filed under: gamma proteobacterium Tree1_3d
Lineage: Bacteria; Pseudomonadati; Pseudomonadota; Gammaproteobacteria
Description: bacterial SSU rRNA
Rfam family: Bacterial small subunit ribosomal RNA
Source: RNAcentral